Long non-coding RNA from Scylla paramamosain (green mud crab), 1405 nucleotides. RefSeq lists it as uncharacterized. The record is from RefSeq and is a predicted model, not a curated record. Lineage: Eukaryota; Metazoa; Arthropoda; Malacostraca; Decapoda; Portunidae. The transcript has 2 exons.
GACAGGAGCAGGUCGGGGAAGCAGGGGCGAGGAGAGGUGGUCAAACUGCAGCAUGGCUGAGCUGUAGGGGGCAAAGGCAAGCAGAGGCAGAAACUCGUAGGAUCGGCAUAGGCGAGGGAGGAGGAUUCUUGGAUUCAUCGUGGAUAGGCGACAUGGCAUCAGUCUCCUUGGUUCCUUUCAUCCUCGGGAUCUCCUAACAGGAGGCAGAUCAGCAUCUCCACCCUUCCUGUUGCCGAUGGCGUGCCAUCAGAAGAGAGGGCCUCCCUGUUACCGAGUACACAGAGGCUGGCGAGGAUGGGUUGUGCUGCACUGAGGAUGUUGGAAUUUGAGUUAUUCCUCAUAAACAUUAAGACUUAUGGAUUAGCAGUGUUGCUGGUUAGUAAGCAGUUGGAUAUGAAAAUGUCAGAAGACUCUCCCUUUUUUUUUUUUUUUUUACUAAAUUUUUUUUUGCUGAGAAACCAAUCUGUUUAUCUCCGGAGACAAUGAGAAGUAAAUUUUUAUUACUAUUUAUUCUUGUACUCGUGUAUGUUAUAUGCAAGGAGAGACUAGGAGGAAUAUAAAGUUUAAUUCACGUGUAGUGUUCAAUAAGAUCAAGAAUUCUUAUGGGGGAAAACUAAUUUUGGACAAAUGAGGAUACUGACAAGCAGGAGUUUGAGCACUGGGAUCCUGCUAAGAAUUUUGAAGACUUGAGUGGUUGUGAAACCUGGAUUGUUAGUAAGGAAAUGAAAAAGAGACUGGAGGCAGCAGAGAUGUGGUUCAUCAGAAGAAUUAUGAGGGUCCCAUGAAUGGCAAGGACAAACCAGCAAGUGUUACAGAUGGCCCGCACAACGGAGUUGAUGACCACAGUGAAAAGGAGACAGCUUGGGUAUCUGGGGCAUGUUUUGAGGGGGGAUGGUCUUGAGAGAGACUGUCUCUUGGGGAUGAUCGAGAGGGGGGAUGGUCUUGAGAGAGACUGUCUCUUGGGGAUGAUCGAGGGAAAGAGCACGAGGGAGACAGAGGAUGAAGUACAUGGAUGGAACCAAGGAGAUGGUGGGAAGAGAGAAGAUGGAAGUAGUGGAGUUGGCUAGGAACAGAAGAGUGUGGCACUCCAUUGUCGCAAAAGUCACCUGACAUGGCGCUGCGGUAGGUAGGUAGUGUCCAAGGAGUAUGGAAGGAUUAUAAAAUUUAAUGGUAGUGUUCAAGGAGUCUCUUGGGAGGAUUAUAAAAUUUACUGGUGUUAAAAAUAUAUAGUCUAUAUAAAGUUUUUUUACGUCUAAUAUAUUGGAAGACUGAGGAAGCCUAUUUUAAUACAAAGGAAGUCUCGUGAAUAAUCUCAAUUUGUGAAUACAAAAUUUCAUGAUUUGUAAAAUUUUUAGAAUACAAUACUUUUGAAUACAAAAAAUAUUAAUAAAACUUUAGUUCAUAA